ACUCCUGAUGGAUAUGUCGUAAGUAGCACUCCCACAUCAAGAGCUGUAUCUCUUUCCAAUUGAAUAGGCCAGUCCUAUUUGUACAGAGCAAAUCAUGCAGCAAUAUUAGUUUCAGGAUUAGGAGCAUACACGUUACAUAUAUAUAACAAUAAUCAUAUAUCAGGCGCCUCAUUUCCAGUAAAAUGUUUCCUGUAGGCUGUUGUCACAAUGUACAAUUACCAACAAUUUCGGCACAUUGGGCCACCCGGAUGGCAGCUUGGGUGGACAUGGGCAAAGAAGGAGGUUAUAUGGUCAAUGGUUGGGGCUCAGGCCACCGAACAGGGUGACUGCUCAAAGUUCAAGGGCAACAUUCCUCACAGCUGCAAGAAAGAUCCCGUGAUCGUUGAUUUACUUCCAAGCACACCAUAUGACAUGCAAAUUGCCAAUUGCUGCAAGGCAGGAGUUAUAAGUACAAUUAGUCAGGAUCCAGCAAAUGCUGCUUCCUCAUUUCAGCUCAGUGUAGGUCUUUCUGGGUCUACCACUAAGACUGUCAAGGUGCCGAAGAACUUCACCCUUAGGACUCCUGGCCCCGGUUACACCUGUGGGCGUGCUAUUGUUGGCAAGCCUACUAUAUUUUUCUCUGCAGAUGGCCGCAGGGCAACCAAAGCUCUAAGUAAGUUGCCCAUUUCUGACGAACCUUACAUUUUGAUUGCUAUUAGUUCUCUUAGAUAAGGUUUGCAGAAAAUAAGUUACGAGCUAAAAUCAUUGUAUUUCAGCACGCCUCUAUUUCUUAAUCAGGUUUUCAAAAUAUAAGGUUACAUUACUUGUCAGUAUAGUUAAAAAGCAAGAGAGAUUUGUUCACCUAGCUAGAAUUUAUUUAUUGUUGUCGAGGAUAAGCUACUGCUAGGUUUAAUAAAAUGUCGUUUGAUUUCUGCAGUGACAUGGAAUGUGACCUGCACGUAUUCCCAAUUUCUUGCUCAGAAGACUCCGUCCUGCUGUGUAUCUCUUUCAUCGUUUUAUAACAACACUACUGUGAACUGCCCAACAUGCUCCUGUGGCUGCCAGAACCCAAGUGGAUCAAACUGUGUGAAGUGAGUAGAGACAUUCUUCACGUCUAUAUAUUCUUUCCCCUGCAUAUAUACAUUGUAAUAAACUCGGUGCAUUUGACAGUAAGGGUUCGCCUCGCCUACGAUCUGCUAUUGAUGGCCCUGGCAAAUGGAGUGGCGAGCCUCUUGUGGAGUGCACUUCCCACAUGUGCCCCGUAAAAAUCAACUGGCACGUGAAGCAGAACAGCAAGGACUACUGGAGAGUGAAGAUCACCAUCACAAACCUCAACUUCCGAAUGAACUACAGCGAGUGGAACCUGGUUGUUCAGCAUCCAAACUUCGAUAACAUCACUCAGUUGUUCGGCCUCAACUACAAACCACUCACUCCAUAUGGGGGUGACAUAAGUGAGUAAACUUGCUGUCUCUUUGUUUCAAUGGAAGAAUGGGAAAAUUGGAGUCACCCUCUCUCUGAAUCUCUGGUGUUGUUUUCUGUCCCAUUUCAGAUGACACGGCAAUGUUCUGGGGUGUGAAGUCCUACAAUGAUGUGCUGAUGCAAGACGGUAAGCUUGGGAUGGUGCAGUCAGAGCUCCUUCUCCGUAAAGACUCCCGGACUUUCACAUUCGAAAAGGGAUGGGCCUUCCCACGCCGGGUGUACUUCAAUGGUGAUAACUGUGUCAUGCCAGCUCCUGAAAAUUACCCAUCGUUGCCAAUGCAAGCCUAGUAAUAAGGCUGUAACGAAAGAACCGUCGUUCGGUUUGAUUACGGCUGAUUGCCAUUUACAAGGAAUAAAUGUCACGGGUUGAUUACGUCGCUUGGAGCUCCACUUUUGCUAACGAAGACCGUUCGUAUUUAGGACAAAGGGCUGCUUAUGAUUUUUUUUUUAUGAUUAUGAAUUGCGAUGAGUUGAAUAAGCGAUGCCCAGUUCAAAUUAUGUGAAUUUGUUUGGUUGGAACAAUGCACCACUGAUACCCCUGAUUGGGCCGAAACGCGUGGUCGUCAUUGGGCUCAGUUGGGAAGCCCGCGCGCUUGUUUCUGGCGAAUUGACUUUACCCAUGUGGCCGUGUGUGGUCUUUGUCACGUACUCUUUUCCUUUGGCGUGACGUGAAAUUCGGGUUAGCUCCUCUGAAAGAUGAGAGAGGCAACAACUAUUGCUAAUCUUGGAGGGGAACACUACUAGUGCUAAUCUUGGGGGAAACAACUAUUUCCAAUAGGAAGCUUACGUGUACGUACUAUUCUUGAGUGCGAAACGUGCUUCUCUCAUGACUCACAGAUUAGUACGAUCGAAGUCCUGAGGUAGCCUCGCGAUUCGCGAAUAGCAUCAAGCUAUGCGAAUGCACAUCAUGAUGGUUCGAGACAAUGGCAGCCGUGUUACCAAAAUUAUCCUAGGAUCAUUGGAACGCAUACUGUUGCCAGUUUUUUUCCCCUGUCGGUGUUACUUGUGUCACACAAACAAUGGCGUUAGUGUUAUUCUGUUAGCGUUUCCCCACACUGAAGAAUUGCUGACUCCUUUAUUUCAGUAGUACGACUGUACGAGUUACUAAACCUUUCAAGUUUUCCUCUGCUUAUAAAUCCAUAAAAAGAACAUACGCCACUGUUUCCUACCUUUUGGCUUCUUUUUUCUCAGCAUCUCAUAUCAACAAAUUACCAAAAAUACCGACGUGUGCAUUCAGUCAGGUUCAGUCUUCACACACGUGCUUGCGUAAAGGGUGGCUCAAUAUGUUCCAAGCUCAUCACGAGGGUGGCUCUGUGGUUGAUCAGGCAAAGGUGCCCUUCGUUCAGAGAAAAGAAGAAUGUAUUGGCAAACAGAACGUCCACAGAGAACUCAUGGAACACAUUCUCUUGUCCCAAAUCAUUGAGCGUUCAUUACAUUGAAUUAUUUUAUAUACAGCAAGUAGUACCGGUGACAAACCAAAGCUAUUCGGCAUGUUUCUCUCUUACCGUUGGUACAUGAAAAAUCACCGAUGUUAAUUCGCUCACUGUUUUAGCCAUUGAAGCUUAUCAGCCGAAUCUAUCAGUCAUUGAACAGUGUUUUUCUCUACCAACAAAUUAGCCAACAGUACUUUUGCCAUAACUUAUCAGCAAAACGAACAAGACGUGAAGUGUUGUCUCCCUCCCAAACCUUUGACGCAGGAAAUUAAAAUAAAUCUCAGCCUAUUCACUUAAGCUUAUCUAUCGAAUCUGUAAGUCAUUUAGCAUUAUUUUUCUCUCAUAAUAAAUUAACAAACAGUACUUUCAGUAAUGACUUUUCAUCCAAACAAAUAGGUCAUCUGGUGCUGGGAAUUGCUAAGAGAAUUCUAUUAAUUUCAAUUCUGUUGGACACGAGCCCUUCAAUCAUGAUCUAAUCUUUCCUUGAGAAACUAUUAUAUAAUUAUAAUUAUAGAUAAACUAAUUGCCUCCCUACAUAAAGGCAGGCCCGUCUUAGAGGGGGUGCAGGCAGUGCGCCGGCCGAGGGCCCAUGACACUUGGGGGCCCAUGAGUAUAGGUCUUUAUAGUAUGUGUAUUUGACACAUAUGCAGUCUGCGGCAAUGAGUUGUCUCUUCGACUUUGUGUGAUGGCGUCUUGCUGUGGCCGUUCCAACGUUCCUAAUUCCGUCCGUCUCUAUCUCUGAUCAUAUUUGGCCAGCUAGCGGCAACAGGCAGGCGGCGCUAUGGUCCCUCCAUGGCUCCGUACCUGACUCCCUGUGGUCUGUGCCUCUACGGAUGCCAGAUGGUGAUCGGUGAAGAUUGAAGCGUGAAGGCUGUACUAGACGAUAAGUGAUUGUUUGAUAUACAAAAUUAUUUUGCUUUUCCACCUUGCAAUUGGAAUCCAAUCCAUACAAGCAAUUAGGUAUCAAGUGAUUGAAGCGAAUAGUUGAGGUAACCAUAAUAGUUAUUUUAAAAAGCGCUAAACUAAAUAUAUGUUGCAAGUUAAAAGGAACUAAAUAUACAUUGCAAGUUAACUAUUAUUAAUAGUGCUAUAUACCUCAAUCGUUAUAAUAAAACAUUAGAUUGUUGGGCUUUUACUAUAUUGUUUGCACAAGGGCCCUAAAAAUCAUUGAGACGGCCCUGCAUAAAGGCCAUGGCCUGAUGGCCAUAUACAUGCACAGGCUAUCAUCUCCUGAUACAUUCAGCCAUGCAGACGUUUAAACAACCAAGCUAACCUGUCCACCGGAAUCCUUCCCACUCACUGACACGCAGGUCCCACCCAUGCAUCAGUUUCCCCAUCUACAAAGCUGGACUCGUUUCUCGCUCCCGUUAGGACAGAGGGAUAUACUACAACACAUGGAGGAGGGAGGUUGUUAGAGCUGGCCCAUAGACUACAUACAGCUGGAGAUCAAUUAAAGAAUGAAAUAAAGUAAACAUAAUAAUAUAGUGUUGUUAAUGUCUCGCAUGGUCGCCACGGGUUGUUGGUACGUCCAGGUUGCAGCACCUACCGUCGCGAUGGCGAUGGGGUCUACAGCGUUGGUUGAUGCACCGGGCUCACGCGCUCGCCUCGUCUCGGCCUCUCAGCCUGCAAUUUGCGUGGUGCGUCGCUGGUGAUCGAUCGAUCAGUGGAGCACUGGAGCUGCUCGUUUUUUUUUUCCCCUUUCUCUUUUGGCACCCCCACCGACAGAAAGAGGGAGGAAGGGCUCUGUCGUCCCGCGUUUCUUUAUUCCUUGCAAGUGUCGGCUCGCAUGUGUGCGUUUAGCCUCUCCGCAUGGGGUCAUCGCCCGCUGUCAUUACUCGUUUCUUAAACUACAUCGUAAAGCUUUGCCACUGAUUGAUCGUUCCGGUUUUGCCCCUGGUGACUGGGACUCGCUGGCUGCAGCUUUCAGUGAUAUUACUGACGAACUAGAGGGAGAAAAAUACAUAUUACAUUUGUUCGUUUGGCUGAUAAGUCAUAGUGGAAAACAUUUUUAGCUGAUUUUUUAUAAAAAAGUAUUAUUGAAUAGCUGAUAGAUUCGGCUGAUAAGCUCAAAUGAAUAAGCUGAUAUAUAUGGCUCCACAAUCAUAGCAGUAUAUGAACCAACAAUGUGAGUCCGGUUGUCCCUCAUGUUUUGUUCUAUUUAUUAAGGAUUCAAACAUUUAAACUAAGGAUUCGAACGUUACCGAACGUGCUACUUCCAAAACUCACGUGUCGGUGUUGGAUACUCCACGGUAGUAUCACCACAUCUUGUACCACGAUUAUCGCAGUAUCACCACAUAUUGUACCAGUAUCCGUAUCCUCGUAUGCCAUUUUGAUUUGAACCCACUCCUGCUAUCCAAAGGCAGUCCUGUGUGCAUUUCAGUUUCCCACUUACCGUUAAUCACCGUCCCUGCACAUACUAGCAGCAAAACAGGUCUAGAUUCUCAGUUUUCACAACCGUUAAUCACCUGUCCUUGUCCCUAAGCGAACAUCACCAACAGCUGUGUGUCACCAGGGGCAUUCCCGUAAAUGCACGCCGGAGGUUGAGGCGUCACAUCUACUCCCUCGCGGCAAGAAACCGUUCCCGAUAUAACCCCACGCCCCCGCACCGAGGCGAGCUGCGCUGCGGAGCAGAGUGAGGGGAGUGUCGUGCUGCCGCCGCAGUAAAAAACAGGGGAGGGGAGGCGAGACGCGGCCGCUGCCUGCCGCACAUGCUUUAAGUCCCACUCCCCACCGCCCCAGAUCUCCGACCUCCCCCAUUCCCCCCUCGCGGCCGCAACCGUCGCCGCCGCAGUCCGGAGCAAGAUCGGCGGGUAGACGGACAGACGGGCCGGCGGGCGCGGCUCUGUAUCUUAUCUGUCGGUGGAGACCGCGUGUGUCGGUUAGGCGGCGGGUGGCAAGGAAGAAUGGCGGCGGGCGGCAGAUCCGUCGCGUGCUGUGCCGCCGUGCUGCUCGCGGCCGCGCUGCUCCUCUCCGCACCGACUACCACAGGUUCGGCACAUCCGUCUCUCUAUGCCUGUCCUGCUUGUGCUCGAUUUCGUGAGCUGGUGAGAUCCGCCGCCCGAUCGCCGUUGCGUCUGAUGCAACGGAGCUCGGAGAGCUGAGAUGAUGCUUCCGUUGCGCGCUGACAAAUGCGGCCCCCGUUUGGUUGGUACUGUCAGCGUCGGUGGCUUCUAGUUUGACCCCACUGCACUCCAAUUCAGUUCGAUCUUUCGAGCUUGCCUCAACUAUGAAUCCAAUUAAGUAGACUUAGCUUCCUUCAACUAUACAUGGAGUUGCCAUCUCAGGCUUAUUUACUAGUGCCGCUGUCUGCUCAACCUGUCGCGAGCUGCUCCAUAUCGAGCUCCUUGGUAGUAGAUCUGCUCAGGAAGUGAACAAGCUGUCCAAGAUCUUACUUAAUUGUAGUUUGCCAUUAAGGGAUCCAGUUACUUUUAAUUGUAGUUCACCAUUAGGCAAAGUGUGUGUGUGGAUCUUCGAAAGUGAACUAACAUUGACUUCAUAUAUUGUGUGAAUUCAUUUCCAUCCUUCUAUAAUUGGGAUCUGUGUUUGAUGUGGAACCUGUGUUUACUCUCUGCAGAGGCUUAUGAUUCGCUGGAUCCAACCGGCAACAUCACUAUAAAAUGGGAUAUUAUGCAGUGGACUCCUGACGGAUAUGUCGUAAGUAGAAUGCCCACUCCAACAGCUGUAUCUCUUUCAUCUCCAGCCUAGUAGGCUCUGGUCAAAUUCUAUUGAAUAACCCAGUUUGACCUGUACAAUAUAAGUCAUGUAACAUGGCCAAUGGCUGAACUAGAAACAUAUGUCACAGACAACAAGAACAACAUCCCAAAUUUAUGUCAGAAGUAUGCUAUGCAUACGCGGUUCCUGAUUUCCCAUAAAAUACCUCCUGCAGGCUGUUGUCACAAUGUAUAAUUUUCAACAAUUUCGGCACAUCGGCGCACCUGGUUGGCAGCUUGGGUGGACAUGGGCAAAGAAGGAGGUUAUAUGGUCAAUGGUUGGGGCUCAGACCACUGAACAGGGUGACUGCUCAAAGUUCAAGGGCAACACCCCCCAUUGCUGCAAGAAAGAUCCAACAAUUGUCGAUUUACUACCAGGCACUCCAUACAACAUGCAAAUUGCCAAUUGCUGCAAGGCAGGAGUCAUAAAUACCUUUAACCAGGACCCAGCAAAUGCUGCUUCCUCCUUCCAGAUCAGUGUUGGUCUUGCCGGAACUACCAAUAAAACUGUUAAGGUGCCAAAGAACUUCACUCUUAAGACUCCAGGCCCUGGGUACACAUGUGGGCGUGCCAUUGUUGGCAGGCCGACAAAGUUUUGGAGCGCAGAUGGGCGCAGGGCAACCCAAGCUCUAAGUAAGUUGCCCAUAUACCGAACUUUUACAUUUUACUUGCUAUCAGUUGCUUAUGUAUGUUCUGGAGAUGAGGUACAGCUACAUCAUAUUAUUCAGUGUGUUCAUAUUCCUUGAUCAUGAUUCCAAAUCUUCAGGUUACAUUACUUGCUAGGUUAGUAAAAAUGAAAACAAUCUAACAAGAGGAAUUUGUUCACAAAGGAGGAAUGCUAAUUGAUAUUUGUUGACAAUAAGUUACUACUAGGCUCAAUAAAUGCAGUCUCUUUUCUUUCUUUUUUUGUUUGUUCUUCACAAAGUAAUAUAUUCUAAUCGCAGAUAGUCAUAGGAAGAAUUCCAUACAAGUUGCAGUUUUGUCUAGAUUUUAUAGUAGAGAGGGUUCUUAACAGAGACAUUCUUUAUCUGCAGUGACAUGGAAUGUGACCUGCACAUAUUCCCAAUUUCUUGCUCAGAAGACUCCAUCCUGCUGUGUCUCUCUCUCAUCGUUUUAUAAUGACACAAUUGUGAACUGCCCAACAUGCUCAUGUGGCUGCCAGAACCCAAGUGGGUCAAACUGUGUGAAGUGAGUUUAUCUGCCUUUUACUCUUAAUUCAUGUCAUAUUAGGGUUCUAUUUUUUAUCUGUAAAGUUUCUAAUGAAUUCUAUUGCAUGUCGCAGUGAGGAUUCACCUAAUCUACAAGCUGCAAUUGAUGGUCCUGGCAAAUGGACUGGCCAGCCUCUUGUACAAUGCACUUCCCACAUGUGCCCGAUAAGAAUCCACUGGCAUGUGAAGCUCAACUACAAGGAAUACUGGAGAGUGAAAAUCACUAUCACAAACUUCAACUUCCGCAUGAAUUACACGCAGUGGAACUUAGUAGCUCAGCAUCCAAACUUUGAUAACAUCACUCAGUUGUUCAGCUUCAACUACAAACCACUUACUCCAUAUGGGGGUGGCAUAAGUAAGUAAACUUGUCUUCCUUGUAGAAAAGAAUAAAAAUAAACCAACCUACCUUCCCUACCUCUCCUGAUGUAGUUUGUCUGUCCCAUUUCAGAUGAUACGGCAAUGUUCUGGGGUGUAAAAUUCUACAAUGAUUUGCUGAUGCAAGCCGGCAAACUUGGAAAUGUGCAAUCGGAACUGCUUCUCCGCAAGGACUCCCGGACUUUCACCUUCGAUAAGGGGUGGGCCUUCCCACGCCGGGUGUACUUCAAUGGUGAUAAUUGUGUCAUGCCAUCUCCUGAAAAUUAUCCAUGGCUGCCGAAUGCAAGCCCUCUAACAAGACAACCAUUGACACUCCCACUCUUGGUAUUCUGGGUUGCCUUGGCUGCUCUGUUGGCUUAUGCAUGAUGAGUGGGAUCAAGAGGUUUAGCAAGCUUCAAGUUGAUGUCAGAUUCCAUGAGGUGCACUGCAACAGGUCAUUUAUUCAUUCAAUUCCAUGGUUGCACAGAAGAGAUGAGGCGAUGCCAAGAAAAAAGUUGAUAUGUGUGUGUGUGUUUUUGUAAGUUAAAGGGCCAAAAUGUAUUUCUUGUUUGGUAUAUAGCAGCCCUACAGCACUUUGGUGAACUUAGUUACUGCAAAUUAGGUAAUUACAGUUGCACCUUUUGUAUUUUAUAGCAAACCCAGAAUUUUUCAUUGGAUUAUAUGACUGCUCCACUUCUUGUAGUAAAUGCAAGGCUUCCCUGAUAAUGUUUUAAAGAUUGGUCGAAUAGAAGAGACAAUGGUGAUUGAGAUAACUAAAUUCUGGCGUCUUGAUACAUUUUGCUGUAGAGAUUAUUGAGCUAAAUUGCUAAGCUACAAGCAUUCACUGUUCACUGAACCAAAAUUACAUUACUCAAAAACUUAGAACAAGAAUGAGUGCAGCACUCGUUUAUGUGCAACUGGAAACCACAAACUGCAAUUUGUAUGUAAUAAUCGGGUUACAGAGAAACAAACGUUGCCUUGCAGAAUCAAUUAAGAUUAUAAUCUGUCAUUAACCUUGGAAUAAGAAUAAUUCCGUUGCCUUGCAGAAUCAAUUAAGAUUAUAAUCUCUAGUUCGCUGGCUAGAGAACUCUAGGAGCCUAAUUGGUUGCGUGUUCUCACAUAAUAAAAGCUUCCGGGGCCUCUGAGAACGGCAAAGGGAUGUUUUCCUGGUUGUUGUGGGCUACUGCAUCGUUGGAAAAUGUCCUGAUGGGUAUAUCCUUUAAUGAAACUAGAUCACAGAUGUAAACUUCAAUGAAACUAUACCACAGAUUUUUACAUUUGAUACUAAAGCUGUAGUCUGGAGGUAAGUACAGAACGGCAGAUUCAAUAAUUGAUCAAACAGAGCAACUAGCUCCAUUUAAACUAAAAACAGAACCAUAACAACGAAUACUAUAUUACUGCAACUACAUCAUAAGAACAACAAACGAAUUCAUGGAAACAACUUACCUUAGAUUGGAUGCAGGAACAAAUUCUUCCUAACCAUCUACCAUGAAGAAAAACACCCAGCCCUUCAUGGUGCUGCUGCUCUGAAGCCUCGGAGCUCAGAACUGGGCAUAUGCCACCCAUGGCCUGGUAUAUAUAUCCAUAAGAAACCAUAUAUGAAGUGCAGUCUAAGGAUGGGCUGAUGGUUCGCCAGUAGCUUUUGGUUUGUUGGCUGGUUAGUUCAGAGC
Molecule: long non-coding RNA, 9833 nt
Filed under: Sorghum bicolor (sorghum)
Lineage: Eukaryota; Viridiplantae; Streptophyta; Magnoliopsida; Poales; Poaceae
Description: long non-coding RNA (SBIC_LNC000109)
Source: RNAcentral